Molecule: ribosomal RNA, 447 nt
Filed under: uncultured bacterium
Lineage: Bacteria
Description: bacterial SSU rRNA
Rfam family: Bacterial small subunit ribosomal RNA
Source: RNAcentral
UCCAGACUCCUACGGGAGGCAGCAGUGGGGAAUAUUGCACAAUGGGGGAAACCCUGAUGCAGCGACGCCGCGUGAGUGAAGAAGUAAUUCGUUAUGUAAAGCUCUCUCAGCAGGGAAGAAAAUGACGGUACCUGAGUAAGAAGCCCCGGCUAACUACGUGCCAGCAGCCGCGGUAAUACGUAGGGGGCAAGCGUUAUCCGGAUUUACUGGGUGUAAAGGGAGCGUAGACGGCAGUGCAAGUCCGGAGUGAAAGCCCGGGGCUCAACCCUGGGACUGCUCUGGAAACUGUAAAGCUGGAGUGCGGGAGGGGCAGGCGGAAUUCCUGGUGUAGCGGUGAAAUGCGUAGAUAUUAGGAGGAACACCAGUGGCGAAGGCGGUCUGCUGGACAGCAACUGACGCUGAGGCGCGAAAGCGUGGGGAGCAAACAGGAUUAGAUACCCCUGUAGA